AUACUUGCAGCAAAAAAAGCUUAUCUGGGUGCCUGACCCAGCAGAGAAACUGGUGCUAAUGGGGGCAGGAAAACAAAACCCCAGCUUGUCUGUGUUUUAUCUCUAACCUCUUUCACUUAGCUGGAGAAGAGAGAACUCCCUGGUGAGUUUUCUGCACCAUCCCAGUAAAUUAUGGUGGGACAAAGGCCUGAGCUUGUUUUCCUUGAGCAGAUGAGCCACAGGAACAUCUUCUCCCCCUGUCAGUGGUCCAGAGGUUCCCUUAGGAUGCCUGGUGCCAUCCCAGGCAGAGCAGCUGUGCUGGGAAAGGCUGAGGGUGGCUGUGCUGCUCUGGAUCUCGGGCUUUAAAUCAACGUGAGAGAUGCCAGGAUGUGGCUCCUUGUGAUCUGGGAAUUAUAAACCAGUCAUUUCAAUCCCAUGAUGAGAACUGAGAUAAACAGGCAGGGAGUAACCAAGGCAUGUCCCCCAGAGCAGUGUCAGACACACCAUGUAAGGGAAAUGAGAGGGAAAGAGCUUUGUUCCAGCCCAAGGCUUAUCCUAAAGUUGUUCCAGCCCUCAGCUUGAGGCACUGGCAGGAGGAAACUCAGCCUUGCAGCCUGUUUCACUCCAUUCUGCCUGCAAAAUAAUCCUGCAGCUUCACUGCCCUACCAGAGUGUGCCAGGCCUUUGGGAGAUGCCAAGGUAACUUUAUGAAGCAGCUCCCAUGUAUGCCCAAGCUCAAUAAAUAUUCCUGUUAACUGCACUGGAUUCUGCUUUGUCCUGAAGAGGGUAAACAGCUGAACCAGACUGAAAAAAAAACCAACAAAAACAAAACACUCUGAAUUUUCUUGCUUAGAGAUCUGAAUUUUAGAAGCAGAUGUACCAUAUCUGAAUUAUAUCUGAAUUUCUGGGGGGCCUCCAAGCAAUCAGACCAUGACAGUACCACAGAGCAAGUGAAGGGGAGCUGGGCAUGCUUGUCAGUCAGCUCUGCUUUAUUCACCCUCACUCUGAUUAUCCAUCCUGCUUUUUCUCCACUUUUAAAGGACAAAAGGUAAAUUUAGGGUGAAUUAAGGUAUGGAGAAAAUGCUUUUGGGUUGUGGUGUUUUUUAUUCUAUUUUUUUUUUUUUUAUUUUUUAAUUUUAAUGCCAGUCUUGCUUUUAAAGUAUAGAAAAUACUGCAUGGUCUCCUGUGAAGCCAGUUUACACUAAAGUGAAUAUUGCAAAUAUUCAAUUAGGAGACCAGUCAAGUAUGUGGGAUUAAGUUGUUUAUAUAAAUGUUUGCAGAACCAGAGUGUGAGUUCACAGGGAGCUUUGGUUUCCCAGAUGAUCCAUAAAAAGGGUCAAACACAGUAUACUGAUAAAUGUAGUAAACUUGCAAAAAACCAAAAAGCCAGCCAGCCUCAAUCCAGUCCUGACUGGAGCUUCCAGUACCAAUUCCCAGUUGUUUAUCAAUGUUGAGUUGGAGGCUGAUGAGUUUGCAGGAUGUGUAAUUUAAAAACAAUUUCAGGCCCUUCCCUGGGCACCACUGCACAUCUCCACACGUCCAUGUGCAGUUGGGAGCUAAAAGCAGAUUCUGCUUUAAGUAAACAAAGAGCUCCCACUGAUUACCCAAAAGCAGCUCUGGUGUGAGCAAGGGUGGAAAAGGCCUCAUGGAAUGAGGUUUGAAGAUACAGGGUAGCAUCAUUCCCUGGAAUUAUCUGCAUUUGCUCCUCUUUGUUUCUGCUUCUGGUACCAAAUUCCUGAGAGAAGCUAAAGAAAAGUCUUGGUGUUCCAACCCCGGGUAGAGAGAGGAGAAAAUUAACUCCUGUUUUGACGAGGAGUAAAUGCCUUCUCAGCUCCAGCUUGAAUUUUGGUGAGCCCUGACAGGACUGGCUAAAUCUGGGUAAAAGCCAAAAAGAGGAGAUAUUUAAUACAAUUCUAUUUCUAAAAUAUCAAUUUCUAAAAUAUAAAAUAAAAUAUAGUGGUGUCAUUUUUUGCAAUAUAUUUUUACAGGCUCUCAGGAAAUAAGAGAAGAAGGAAGGACUCCAGUGUUCCAGGAGUGUUGGGUGCCUGGUUCCCUGCUUUCUGUGCUGGUCAGGACAGGGAGACAUCAGCAAGAAAUCAGGAAUUUACCCAACCCCAGUGGGCCAGAAGCAGGAGUGACUUCCAGACCAGAUAGAUUAAAAAUCAUUCCCAUCUGACGUCCAGGAAAAGGUCAGGAGUUCCAGCAGUGGUGGAGCAGCUCCCAGCUUGCGUGAAGAGAGAGAAGAAGAGAAUGAAGAAGAAAAGAAAGAAGAAAUAAUGUGUAGGAGCUGCUGUUCAGAACAUCAGGACUCUAUGAUGUGUGUUUCUUUCAGCACAAACUUUAACACUCAGAACUCUUUGCCUUUGAGACUGAUGUGUUCAUGCAAUAAACAAGUUUGAGAUCCUUGCUGAAGCCUUCCUCUAGGAUUUGCACCGAAUGCCUGGGAUGUGUUUGUAGCCUCACUUUGACAUCUUUGAUGUCUUACUGCAGAAACUGGCUGUGAAGGGAUUUGUGACUUAUCAGUAAAUAGUCUGGCACGCUUCAUUUGACACUGACUGUGUACCUCAGUGCCAGAAAAUCAUGAUAUCACAUAUUAUGAGGCUCUCAGAAAGAAAAACAUGGCUAAAACAUGGCUAAGAGGUGAGCAUCUCUUUCUUCUUUAGAGUGAAGAUUCUUCAUUGUUGAGAACAAGUGAAUUUCCUUCCAAAUGAAUUGGAUACUCACCUUUAUUUUACCAUUGUGGACUUGAUUUUCUGAACCUGAGAGAGUUUCAGGCUCUCAGUGGCUGAUCUUCUUUCCCAAGGGAAAGUAUUUUGGGAAACUUUCCUCUCUCAAGGACUGUUGUGUAAGAUUUUAGUUCUCAAAACGAUGACACAGACAUUCUGAGGGUGUUUUUGUCUUGUCCCACCAGUGGGAUGAGAGAGAUGUUGCUCCUUGUACCAAAAAGGUCAACCUGUAUUGGAACACCUUAUAAAAAGGGUUGAAAACCCUGAAAUAAAUGCUUUGCCUCCUGAGAAAUAAAAUUUCAGCUGCUGUGAUACGAA
Molecule: long non-coding RNA, 3022 nt
Organism: Parus major (Great Tit)
Lineage: Eukaryota; Metazoa; Chordata; Aves; Passeriformes; Paridae
Exons: 3
Source: RefSeq, a predicted model, not a curated record